Molecule: long non-coding RNA, 4665 nt
Organism: Arabidopsis lyrata subsp. lyrata
Lineage: Eukaryota; Viridiplantae; Streptophyta; Magnoliopsida; Brassicales; Brassicaceae
Exons: 8
Source: RefSeq, a predicted model, not a curated record
UUUUUUUUCUCCAAUUGAUAUCUCUUUUAAUGGUUUCGAUUUUGUUUCUUUCGAUCUCUGUCAGCUAGAGGCACAAGAAGCUGGGGUAUUGCUGCGAUGAAGAUCAAAGGCUUCUUGUUGCAGAGUUCAUGCCAAAUGAUACUCUUGGUCAGCUUUUGUUCCAUCAGAUAAACCAAACCAUGGAAUGGUCAGUGACGUUGCGAGCGGCAUGUCAUGUAGCCGAAGCAUUAGAUUAUUGUAGCCAUCCAAGUUCUGUUUGAUAAGGAUGAUGAUGCAUGUAUUUCCUGUUUCUGUUUAGUGAGGGAGAUCAUCGAUUAUGAUCAAAUAACAACAGGAAGUGUGAACCCUGAGACUGUGACAUACAGAUCUGGUACUAUACUUGUGAAUCUGCUAGAUGGAAUGCACAUUGCUCCAAGCCAUGUAAGUGAUUCUGUUUAAGCCCUCUCCUCUCUUGAAUUUGUGAUUGUAAUCAUUAGAUUCUCUGUCAUUGUCAAUGUCUUGCAACACAAGCCAAAUACAAAAGCGAGUUUUUCUUCAGUUUUAGGGUUUGGUCGAUUCGUGAUUGUUAUUUUCCUAAAUUUCGAACCUCUCUUUUUCAAAAUCAAAAAUUCGAUUUGGUUUUUCAUCAAGCAAAUACGAAAGCCUUCUUUUCUUAGUUGUGUUAUUGCAUCUUAAGGUUUUCAAUUUCAAAACUUGCGUUUCGCUUUAAAGAUUUUACGUUGUUGUUUCAAAUUGGGUUUCUGAUUGUUUUGUUUCUGCAAAUCAAAAGCCCUCUUUUUGCUUUGUGUUUUUUUCUUUUUCGAGGGGUUUUUUUUAUUUUUCUUGAUUAUAGUUUUCUUAAAUUUGAAACCUUUUCUGCAAAUUCAGAGUUUCGAUUGAUUUUUUUAUAUAUUUUCGUAAAUCAGAAAUCCCUCUUUAGAAUUCCUGUUUUCUUCUGUUUCGAGGGAUUCUUACUUCAAAUUUUUGUUUGUCUAAAGUUUUAUGUUUUCUUCAAACCCAAAAGAAAGGGACUACACAUUAUAUGAUUGUGUAUGUCCGGUUUCUAACUUGGGGAGAUGUUGCCUAUGUUAAACAAGCAGGAUGUGAUUAAAAUCUGUAAGACUUGUAAAAUUAUAUUAGACAAGCAAGAUUUUAUUGAAAUCUGUAAGGCUUGUAAAAUUAUGUAAGACAAGCAUCAUUUUGAUUGAAAUCUGUAAGUCUUGUUAAAUUAUGUAAUGCAAGCAUCAUUUUGAUUGAAAUAUGUAAGACUUGUCUAAUUAUUUAAGACAAGCAUCAUUUUGAUUGAAAUCUGUAAGUCUUGUGUAAUUAUGUAAGACAAGCAAGAUUGGAUUGAAAUCUGUAAGUCUUGUUAAAUUAUGAAAGACAAGCAAGAUGAGAUUGAAAUUUGUAAGACUUGUCUAAUUAUUUAAGACAAGAGAUUUUGAUUGCAAUCUGUAAGACUUGUUAAAUUAUGAAAGACAAGCAAGAUGAGAUUGAAAUCUGUAAGACUUGUCUAAUUAUUUAAGACAAGCAAGAUUUUGAUUGAAAUCUGUAAGACUUGUCUAACUAUGUUCAAAGAUUGGAUAAUUGAAUCUAAUCGAUAUAUUGCUGGCUGGGCAGCAUAACUUCAAGUUUCUGCAUAGAACUGCUUUCAUUAAGGCUUUUCUAAUGAUGUCCUAAGAAGGAUAAAUUCAAUGAUCUGCUUAUUGAUGGGGAUAAAACUCAAUGAUCUGCUUAUUUGAUCGAGAUAAAUUCAAUGAUCUGCUUAUUUGAUGGAGAUAAAUUCAAUGAUCUGCUUAUCGAUUUGGAUAAAUUCAAUGAUCUGCUUAUUUGAUGGGGAUAAAACUCAAUGAUCUGCUUAUUUGAUGGGGAUAAAACUCAAUGAUCUGCUUAUUUAUGGGGAUAAAACUCAAUGAUCUGCUUAUUUGAUGGAGAUAAAUUCAAUGAUCUGCUUAUUUAUGGGGAUAAAACUCAAUGAUCUGCUUAUUUGAUGGAGAUAAAUUCAAUGAUCUGCUUAUUGAUUUGGAUAAAACUCAAUGAUCUGCUUAUUUGAUGGAGAUAAAUUCAAUGAUCUGCUUAUUUAUGGGGAUAAAACUCAAUGAUCUGCUUUAAAACUCAAUGAUCUGCUUAUUGACGGAGAUAAAUUCGAUGAUCUGCUUAUUGACGGGGAUAAAUUCAAUGAUCUGCUUAUUGACGGAGAUAAAACUCAAUGAUCUGCUUAUUGAUGGAGAUAAACUCAAUGAUCUGCUAUGACGGGGAUAAAUUCAAUGAUCUUCUUAUUGACAGAGAUAAAACUCAAUGAUCUGCUUAUUAAUGGAGAUAAAUUGUCUUUUAUAAGACUUGUCUAAUGAAUUCAGAUUGGGGAAUUCAGUUGUAUGGAUGAAAAAGCAUAAAAACAUGUAGUUAAUCCUUUCUGCCUAGCUCUUGAAGCUAUUCCUGUUAGCGAAGGCACAUCAUUGUGCAACGCUUUAUGGGUCAGGCUCGAGCAAGGCACUAAAGACAAAGAGAGAGAGAUGACGCACUAAAGGCAAAUCAAUAUACAUCUUACUGAGAAAUGAUAUUCAUUGGGACAUCAAGUUCUAAUUUUCAAUAUUCUGCAUAAAAAAAAUCUUAACUUGCAGACUGUAUCUUUCCCUCUUUUAAUCAGGUAAGUGUCUCUUUCGUCUUUUAAAACAAUGUAUAAUCUUCAUAAUAUUUUUCCUUGAUGGAUUUUGUAGUUCGUUAAUUGAUUACAUCUUUUGAUCACGUAGUCUUUUAUAACUAUUUGACUAUGAGUGAUUAUUUAUCUAUUUUUUUUAGCUUCAGAAGACCAAGAACUGGAGUGUGUAUACGUGAUCGUUCUCAGGUUCAACUUCUCUCCCUCGGUUUGAAAUAUUAUAGUUUGAAUACUUAUAGUAGUAGCAUUUUGGUAAACUCUGGUGCACAAGAAGAUUAGAUGAAUGAACAGCAACUUUUGGAGUGUCUCCAAAAGAAAGCUUUGGUUUCUCAGGAACUAAAGGGUUAUUAUCUCUCCAAGUCCACGCGAUUCUAAACAUUUGACUUUGCCAUCCACGCGAUUCUUCAAUGAUUUCUUUUUGUCUUACUAUACUCAUUUAUGGUUUAUAUCAAACUUGCAGGAACUAAAGGGUUAUUAUCUCUCCAAGUCCACGCGAUUCUAAACAUUUGACUUUGCCAUCCAUUUGUGGUCUAAAACCUCAUUCUCUUCUUUGAAACCAAAGAGGGCAUGAUUGGAGCUUUUGUGGCGUGCGUCGUCUUCAACACUCUUAUUUCCAAGUGGAUUAAUGUUUCCUUUAGAAAACCAAACCUCAAUUAAAGCACCCACAUCUUUAGAGCACACUGAUACAAAUAAUCGCAUAACACGAACACAUACACACAAAAGUAACUUUUGUGCUCACACUAAUACAAACAUAAAUGCAUUACACGGACACAUACUCUAAACGUAAACAUAACUUUUGUGCUCACACAUGAACUUACUAACUUAUUUUAAUGCAACACAAUUGGAAAUACAAUUGUUUAUGUUGUAUGAUGAACGAGUGCUAAACAGAAGUUUAUGAAAUUACUUACUAACCCUCUGUUUAUAUAAGAGGCUUAUGUACAGUUUUUCAUUAGUCUGAAAAGUCUCGGUACGACUUCAUUUUUCAAUUUGUGACAUGGAAUCAGAGCCGUGAAAAAGCCUCUCUUUCAUUCACACAUUUUCUCUUUGAUUCCUUGGAACUUUUCCAAGAAUCACUCUCUAUUCUAUAAUCAUAUAUAGGAUUAGAGGUAAGCUUGGCCAUUUGGUUACUCGGAUCGGUUCCAUUCAGAUUCAUUUCUUCGGUUCUUGAGAUUUCGGUCUCAUUCGCGUAAUUUUUUGGUUCGGUUUUGGUUCCGGUCCUUUCGGGUCCGGGUUGGUUACUUUUUACUCGAAAUUAUUCAAAAGUAACCUUAAACCCGAAAUUACCUGAAAUACUUAAAACAAAUUGUAACUGUAUCAACCAAAUAUACCCAAAUUACCUUGAAAUUAGUCAUGGCAUAAUCCGUUUAAACCGAACCCAAUAAACCGACGAUUUUGACUUUCGGUUUGAAAUUGAUUAUUGUUGUAAACCGAUCGGCAGAAUUUUAAAUUGAUUUUGGUUUUUGAGUUUUUCGGUUCGGUUCAUCAAAACCGAUUAGUAUUUCAGUUAAAGGAGACACCUUAUAUUAACAGAAAACCCUAGCUAGAUCUAUCACUUCAUAUGUUUGUUUUCUAAUCUCUCCUUCUCACGAACCCUUCUUUUCUCCUCUUCGACAAACCCUCUUUAUCUUUGACCUUCUAAUCCUUCUUGUUGGUGUCGGAUCUCAGUAUUCGCCCAGCCCGGAGGGAAAAUGGUUUAUCGUAAAUGGGCCGCAAGAUCCUAAAUGGGCUGAGAAUUGUAAGCAAACUGUAAGAAAUGGCUGAGAUGUCAUAGCCGUUAUCGAAGUUGAAGGGCAUUCCCCAAUGCGUGUAACAGACAAAUCUUCCUAGCCAUAAUGAAGAGACGUUGAUUGCGGAGCAUUUAAUAGUCCGUUAUGCGGAUUGUAAGUAACGUCUAGGCACUAUUCGCGGCGGGAAAAUGGCUGCAUUAAUGAAAUAUAGUCUAGGGUUCGCAUAAAAAUAGUAAGGUGGACGAAAAAAUCUUGUAAAAAAACUCUUAUCACGAUUAAUACUAUACACUUUUCAACUCUCGA